AGUCUCCUGGUGCUUGUCAUUAGCUGUAUUCUUACAAUGACAGUAGAGAAAGAGGAGGUAGAAUGAUCAUUUCCCACAUGUAUACCUCAGCUCAAGGCUUGUGCCUGGUCUAUAAGUAGGACACGAAAA
Molecule: small nucleolar RNA, 129 nt
Organism: Marmota marmota marmota (Alpine marmot)
Lineage: Eukaryota; Metazoa; Chordata; Mammalia; Rodentia; Sciuridae
Source: Ensembl